Molecule: long non-coding RNA, 2576 nt
Organism: Equus caballus (horse)
Lineage: Eukaryota; Metazoa; Chordata; Mammalia; Perissodactyla; Equidae
Source: Ensembl
UCACAAGAACAGAUUGCACCCCUCACCCUGUAGAGUCCUCUUAAAUGCUGCCACGGCUGCUGGGCAUUCAGGAAUGUAAACAGCUCCAUCCAAAAGUUAUUCCUAGUACCGGGAAAAAAGUCUUUCCCAGAUUCACAGCGUCUUGAUUAUGUACACUCUUUGCAGGAUGAAAAACAUCCUGGGCCAAGAGUUAGGAGGCACAGUUUCCUAUCUUUCUCCAUGAUCAGCUAGUUGUGCCUUAGUUUGCUCAUUGGUAAAUGGUGGAGUUGCUUGAAUUGGAAGGUGUCUUCUAGCCUGUAGGCUUCACGAUUCUCAAGGGCAGUGUUCUCUGUCCCAUAAAUGUUUAGGUGAAGGGCAGCAGGGUGAGUAGCUGGUGCCUCAGCUUUGCUAGGGUCGCAGGCUUGUGUCUAACACAAUUACACCUGGAGCACCUCCUCCUCCAGUUUGGUGGGAAUCUUAAGCCACAGAGAUUCAGGUUUACCUUAUAUUUGAACAAUAAUCUCAUUGUCUAAACCUGGGACACUUUUGAGAGUGAAAGAGGGUUCUCUUAAGAAUUGUGUCAGAACACUGGAGGUAACUUGGAGAAAUUUAAUAUCUCCCCAGAUUGUAUGAGGCCAGAAACUCCAGGAUUGUAUUUGAUCCUAAUUCCACACUGUCAUAUAUAAGGGGAAAUGGCACAAAUCAGUUCUACCGUAUCACCAGCCAACCUAUUUUCUGAUGAGAAGGACAAUCCUUUGUUUUGGAGGAGUUUAUAAAGUGGAAUUUAUUUUACUCGACUCCUUCUUUGAUUGAAAUAUUGUCAACUUAACAAAAUAGUGAAAGAGCAUUGGCCUGGAGUCAGAAGACUUGAAUUCUCAUCCUAGAUCUGCUACUAACUAGCUGUUUGACCCUGAGAAGUCACUUUACCAGAAUUACAGUCUUUCUCUGAGAUGAGGAAAGUGGAGUAGAUAUGUCACUUGAGGUCCCUCCCAAGUGCUAAGAUUCUAUGACUCCACGAAUUCAGACUAUCAGAGGAGAACACUGCAGCGUUCUUCUACAUAGGUUGUAAAUGAGUCCGCUUGGCUUUUGGCCUGUCUCUCUCCUUGUUGUAAGAUGGCUAUAUUUUGAGAUACUUGCCGUUGAGAUACAGUCACUAUGUGGGAGGAAACCCAGGUGGCAUGGAGAGGCCACAUGUAGGUGUUGUAACCGACAGCUCGUUAAGUUCUAGCGGAAGCCAGCAUCAACCUGCAGAGUGAAUGAACCUUCGAUUGAGCUCAACUCCCAGCCCCAGAGUCUUCCAGUUUAGGCCUCAGAUAUCACAGAGAAGAGACAAACCAUCCCCCUAUGCUGUGCUGAAUUCCUGAGCCACAGAAACCUGAGAGAUGUUAAAUGAUUAUUGCUUUAAGUCACUGAAAUUUGAACUAAUUUGUUAUGCAGCAAUAGAUAACUUUUGCUAUAUGCUUCAUUGUUCAUGUGCAAUCGGUCGAGGAAGAUGGGGGAGGGCAGAGAGACUAUGAGAAACUAUCCCUUGCUAUGGAGUAACCAUCUUCCCCUUCAGUCUGAAUGAGCCAACUUAGGUCUCAUACCCACUCGCAGACCAAUAGCAGCUAUCAGAGAAAGUCAUGCAUUGGUUGGCCUGGAAUACUUGGGAUCUCCCCUCUCAAGCUGGGCAUAGAGCCAGCUUCCCUGGCGUCAUGUGAGCUGACUAGGGGUUAGUUACAGACCUGAGCCAAAUAUAGUUAAAAAGGAGAAAAGGGAAAUGAAAGGUGAGCUAGAGGAAAUGAGGUUCACUACAUGCAGGUAAAAAAUGAUUCACAGAUGUUAAAGUAACACUGAUGAGAUUACUGCGUUAAUAUAGAAUAAAAAUUGAAUGACAAAGAGACCAUUUAGUAUUUAAGCAUAAUCAGUAUUUAUAGAAUGUCUUCUGUAUAAAAGUCACUGUAUUAUGAAUUCCAGGGAGUCAGUGAUUAGUCAGACGUGGAGCUUGCUCUCAAAGAGCUUAUGCUAUAGUUGUUUGGUGAAAAGUGAAAGCGAAAUACAGAUUGAGCGACAGGGGAGCUCAGAGAGGAGGGAGAUUGCUUCAACUCAGGACAGUCAGGGAGGGCUUUUUGGAGGAGCUGGCAUUUGACCUGAGAAUGAGUCAGAUUUGCAUCUAUGGAGAACAAUAGGGAAGGGAUUCCAAGCAGAAGGAACAGCACAAGCAAAGGCAUGGAGAUAGGAAACCUAUAGAUAAAGUCUGAGAACAUCAGAGACAAAUCAGAAAAUAAUAAUAACAAGUGGUGCCUCUUACUAUGAGAUAUAGAGACUUCUUAUAGAGCUUUAAUAAUUAAAGGACUUUGUGUGGCAUUGGCACAGAAAGAGACAAAAAGAACAAAUGAACAAAUAAGUGAGGAACAAGCUAACCAAUCAAAAACUGGAACAGAGAGCAUAGGAACAUCCCCACAUGUAUAUGGAAACUUGGUGUGUAAUAGAGGGCAUUGCAUUUCAGAAGGGAAAAGAAAGACUGUUCAAUCAAUGGUGCAGAACAAUUAUCCAAAGAGAUGGAAAAAGAUACGAUUAGGUCCCCAUCUCAUACCACACACAAAAAUUAAUUCCAG